This 508-nucleotide long non-coding RNA is filed under the name Androctonus crassicauda. The record is from RNAcentral. Lineage: Eukaryota; Metazoa; Arthropoda; Arachnida; Scorpiones; Buthidae.
AUAAGGUUAGAAAGGCUAAGAAAUGGAUUGAUGACAAUAAUAUCACUUGCGCUAGAGAUGAUAAAAGCAGAUUAAUGAUCUUAUUAAGGAAUGAGACAUAUGAAAGCUUUGUUAGUAAAUUCUUGGCAGACAGUGAGUGUGUUGAACUGAGCUCUGGCCUGACGGAGACAAUAAACAAUGAGGUCCAUAGACUCGCAAGAAAAUCAGGAAUGCCGUCGUUUCUAAGGAAUUCGUGCAUUAGGUUGCCCAAGCUGCCACGACUUUUUAUGUUCAUAGACACAAGAAUCCCGUCGGGGCGCGACCCAUGGUGGAGAAAACUGCAGCACCGACAUAUCUUUUGGAGAAGAAGCUAACAAAAUGGUGCACUAAUAAACUUAAGGAUUAUGAGUAUACAACUGUAUCAUCCAAAAACUUCAUUGACAAUCUUUUGGAGGUGGGACCAUUACCUGAACAGGUUAUGCAGAUAUGACUUCAAAGCCUUAUAUCCUUCAAUUAAAUUAGAACAGGC